Phyllostomus discolor (pale spear-nosed bat) is the source of this 674-nucleotide non-coding RNA. The record is from the annotation of a RefSeq genome assembly. NCBI's taxonomy places the organism in Eukaryota, Metazoa, Chordata, Mammalia, Chiroptera, Phyllostomidae.
GGCCAAACUACAUCCUUCUCUGUCUGGGGUGUGAGCUGAGCUCUAGCACCAGGGCUCAGGGAGGGGCUGGGUAGCCCCUGGAUGGACACACAUUUGCAUGGACAGCCCCUCCCCUGGCAGAGGGUAGGGAGAAAAGGAGGCCUGGGCAGCCCAGCCCCACUGUGGGCUCAGGGGCUGUGUGCACCAUGGCCUGGACCCCUCUCCUCCUCGUGCUCCUCUCUUACUGCACAGGUUCCCUCUCCCAGCCUGUGCUGACUCAGCCGUCCUCCCUCUCUGCAUCUCCAGGAGCCACAGCCAUACUCACCUGCACCAUGAACAGUGGCUUCAGUGUUGGCAACUACUACAUAAACUGGUACCAACAGAAGCCAGGGAGCCCUAUCCAGUAUAUGCUGCAGUUUAAAUCAGACUCAGACAAGCACCAGGACUCUGGGGUCCCCAGCCGCUUCUCUGGAUCCAAAGACACCUCGGCCAACGCAGGGCUCCUGACCAUCUCUGGGCUACAGCCUGAGGACGAGGCCGACUAUUACUGUGGCACACCUCAUGGCAGUGGGAGCAGCUACAGUUUCGUGUUCGUCUUCCUUCUCCAGCCUCUGUGCUGCUUGAGGGCAGGAACGCCUGACCUUUGUUCUGGGUCAAAGCAACUGCCUGCUCCCGACAACUGUUUGCACAGCUGA